AGCAGCCGCGGUAAUUCCAGCUCCAAUAGCGUAUAUUAAAGUUGUUGCAGUUAAAAAGCUCGCAGUUGAAUUUCGGGAUCGAUAUGUCGGUCGUGCUUUUUGGUACGUACUGGCGUCAUCGGUUUCUCCUUUCUGACGGGCCGUGAUGUCAUUAAUUUGGUGUUACGGGUAGUUAGGACUGUUACUUUGAAAAAAUUAGAGUGUUUAAAGCAGGCAUUGGCUUGAAUACAUUAGCAUGGAAUAAUGAAAUAGGACGUUCGAUCCUAUUUUGUUGGUUUCUAGGAUCGACGUAAUGAUUAAUAGGGAUAGUUGGGGGCAUUAGUAUUCAAUUGUCAGAGGUGAAAUUCUUGGAUUUAUUGAAGACUAACUACUGCGAAAGCAUUUGCCGAGGAUGUUUUCAUUAAUCAAGAACGAAAGUUAGGGGAUCGAAGACGAUCAGAUACCGUCGUAGUCUUAACCAUAAACUAUGCCGACUAGGGAUCGGAUGAUGUUAAUUUUAUAAUGACUCA
This 509-nucleotide ribosomal RNA is filed under the name uncultured Glomus. RNAcentral's name for it is "SSU rRNA". It matches the Rfam family "Eukaryotic small subunit ribosomal RNA", at positions 569 to 1078 of the family's 1831-position model. The record is from RNAcentral. Lineage: Eukaryota; Fungi; Glomeromycota; Glomeromycetes; Glomerales; Glomeraceae.